Molecule: long non-coding RNA, 813 nt
Organism: Ictalurus punctatus (channel catfish)
Lineage: Eukaryota; Metazoa; Chordata; Actinopteri; Siluriformes; Ictaluridae
Exons: 4
Source: RefSeq, a predicted model, not a curated record
AAGGAUUUUCAACAGGUUAAGUAUUGUUCUGAAAUUAAUUUGGUGUUUUAAGACUAUUUUAAAACCUUUUAAUCUAUUUUAAAUCCUCUCGUGAGAUGGAGGGCGGGAUAUAUAAACCCUGUGAUUUGUAUUUAGCUUGGAGGUUGUUUCGGCUUUUCAGGCUGAAAAUGUCAGAUUUUUGACGAAGUAUGACCAAUUUUUUAUUUUUUUUUUACUCUGCUCACGGUUUAUGACUUUUAAAUGUUUUACCUUACUUGGAUCCAGGGGGGAUUUGAGGUUGAGUAUUUUCUGCAGUGCACGAGACACCACUUCUUUCCUUUUCACCAGAAACGCCUUCUCCUUUGCAGAAGUGCAGAGCUGUCCUCCACAGACCCCACGACCUGACAUGGUGAAACGUUUGGUGUUGUUUUCAGCAGUGACGGAACAUGGUCUGAAGUUACAAACAAGCAAGCCUCCAGGAACGGCCCAGUAGACAGGAGCAACUAGGCAAGCUGGGCGAAGGUCGGCUCUGGGAACUGCGGUGAAGAAUGAGCUUAUAUUGAUGAAAUCUAAAGAAGACAUCUAUCUACCUUGGAGCUGGUUCUUGGUUUGUAGUUAAGUGUAAAAUGAAAGCAAGUGAAGAUAAAUGCUCAUCUGCAGUUUAUUAAAAAGCCAGGUUUAUGGCUAAUAAUUCCCUGCUCCCCAGAUUUCAAUUUCUUUCAGCAGGUGUUAGCGUGAUUGGAAAAUAAGCAUAUAAAUGUCGAUGAGUGUGCCAGUCGUACAUGUAGAUUUUCAAAUACAUCCACUACGCAGCAAAUACUACAGUGUGGGAUC